Bactrocera oleae (olive fruit fly) is the source of this 2070-nucleotide non-coding RNA. NCBI's taxonomy places the organism in Eukaryota, Metazoa, Arthropoda, Insecta, Diptera, Tephritidae. The record is from RefSeq and is a predicted model, not a curated record.
UCUUCAGAUUUACUUUAUACCGUAUAUAUCGGUCAAUAUGUCCAGUCGAACCUGAGAAAUAAUGGGUACCGUUUUGAAAAAGACAGUUUCGAGAAAAACGGGUUUAAAGUUUUAGUUCCGGCCUGUUUCUAAGUAUCUCCAAAAAUAAUUUGAAUUUUGAAAAAUCUUAUUGAAGACAUGAGACAUCUAGACUAGAAGGCUAUAGGUGUUCUAUUAUCUUUAAUAUGGUUAAAGGAAAUUGUAAAUUGUUGAAGAGAAAGCAAUAAUCGAAGCUUAUGAAGAGUUACAGCUUUCAGUAUUUAAAAUAUCAAAAAAGGGGGCAGAAGUCGAAAAGUCAAUUUCUUGCGUAAUAAAUCGGGUUACUGUCGAACUAAAAAAAGCGGUCACAAUAAAGAACAAUUUUCAACUCUCAUGCAUCGACCUCCAAGAUCCGGGCAUAUACUGGUGUUAAAGCGAGCUUAUCUACUGUUUAAAGGGUGUUAAGAAAUGCUCCAUAUUUGGAUAUUAUUAUCUUGGAUAUUAUUAUAUGGCUAUUUUGUCUUUCCAGACGAAAACAAAUUAAUUUAGAAAGGCCGAUGGAUACAAGUAUUCUUUCCAAGAUCUUCGGAAGAAGGAACAUCAGUUGGAACAACUGUGGGGAUGGUUGUCUCGCAAAGUUUUCAAGACUGGCCGAUAGUAUUCCACUAAAGAGGAAUUAGUUGAAUGUAUUAAAAAUGUUUGGUCAUCAUUUGUUUAAAUAACAUUGGAAAAUUAUACCAUUCACCACUCAAUCAGAUCUUAAAGAUCAUUUUCAACAAGGCGGGAUCGACUCAUUAAUAAAAUGAUAUACAAACGUUUAAAUUAGUUAAUACAAAAGUUUAAUAAUAUGCUCUUGGCUAAAAAUGUUAAAGAAUACUAAAGUAUGAUGACCUUAUUCAAAUUGUAAAUUUUUUUGUUGAUUUCGAAAUAAAAUCAUUAAAAAAUAUGGAAAAAAGGUGUAUUAUUACUAUCAAUUUUAGAAUUUUAUUGGAAAGUGGAAAUCAACUUCACUUAUUUUGAAAACGAAAAUUUCGAGCGUUUUUCUUAUAAAUAUUCAAGCUGCCUAAAAGUUGACUAUACAAAAUGAACAGAAAUAUUUCACUCAACUCAGCAACAAACACAUGCGAAUAUUUAAAGUCUUUGAUUCACAACCACAUCUAAGCUCAGACGUUUUAACGGUUUUUAAUGUGAAGAGCAAGCAAGUAUGUACGAAAACAGAUAGUAACGGUUACUAGUGAUAUCUACGUCAAUAUAAAUAACAAGUAAUAGCAUAAACACAAUACGGGCGACGGCGAAUAUUCGUCGUACUCGGCGAUGCCGUGGGUGAUUCGAACACACGAGUGUAUAUGAAGAUUAACACAAUACGCGACGGCGGCGAAUUUCGCCCACCAUGACGAUUUUUGAAAUAGAGCUAUUUCUAAUUUUAUCGCCGACCGCGGCAAAACCGACAUUGCCAUAUCAAAGAAAGAUUAUUUUAAGUAAAAUCUUAAGAAUUAAAAAAAAAAUUCAAGAAAUUGUCUGCGUUGGCAAUAUUAAGAUCGUUUCUGUUUGGUUUCGUCAUUUUAAUUUCAAAAUCAAAACAUUGUGAUACUUUUAACUGCGAAGUACGCACUAGGUGGCUAUAAGCAAAUAAAAUGGAUUUAAACGAAAAAUUAAUAGAGGAACUACGUAAAUAUAAGUGCAUUAACAAUUUAUCGUCACCGAAUUACAAAAAUGUGUUUAAAAAAAUCCAAAUUUGGGAAGAAGUAGCUAAAAUAAUAAAUGUGCCGGAGGAGUCAAAGAAAAGCCUGUUUUAUUAUAAACUUUAUUCUAAAGUAUUGUAUUAUAAAUAUUUUCAGAAGACAGCUGUAGGAAACGCUGGAAAGGGCUGGAAAGGACAGCGACUGGCUUCCGGCAGUGGUGUUCCGAUUCCACGCAAAAUAUGGAAAUAUAUGAACACGUUAAGUGUUUUGCGCGGCUACAGUGAUUCUCGAGAAAUGGAAGAAAUAGAGUGCUCUUCUUUAACAAGUACAAGUACUCCUCCAGAAGGUUAUUACACUCCUCUAAAUGCGG